AGGAGCGGCAUGCAUGUCAACUGUUCAUGCUGGUGUAGGUGUUGGAGGUGCGGCAGUGAUUCAUGUGAAGAAGGGGGCUGGUGGUGUAGUUGCUGCUGGAGUUGAUGUUGCGGGGUCGGCUGCCACGGCUGGGAGGCGAUGGCCAUGGGGCAAACCGAGUGCCAAUCUCCGAACGGUGGCGAACCCUGAUGAUCUGCAGUCACUUGCCAGCCUGGCGCGACAAUGCUGCCAGCAGCCUCAGCGGGACACGAAAGAGAGUAUGGCGUUUGCGCAGCGACUUGC
RNAcentral lists this long non-coding RNA (282 nucleotides) under Volvox carteri. RNAcentral describes it as "long non-coding RNA (VCAR_LNC002166)". The record is from RNAcentral. Lineage: Eukaryota; Viridiplantae; Chlorophyta; Chlorophyceae; Chlamydomonadales; Volvocaceae.